GGAUUGAACCAUAUUGGAUUGAGGGGCCAGUGUGAGCAUUGGCAUAGAAAAACCGCACUCUCCGUGCGAUCACCUAAUUCAAACAGAAGCAGAACACAGGCUGCAAAUCAAGCCAGAGCAAAGCCAAAUUUGAAGUGUGCUCGCAGUCUGAGCUUGACUUACUUUACAGAGUUACAAUGGGGAUGAAGUCAGGAAGAGGUGAACCAUGUGUGCCAAUUUGAACUCGCUGGAGGAUAUUACAUGUGAAAACUGACGCCCCUUUUUGGACAACUAUGGUGAAAGAAGAGAAAAAAUUAAAACAAGACCCUGUAUGACUUGUUACCAACUAUCAUGAUUAGUAUCCUCAUAUUAUCCACAAUUCCUAUGAAAACUGUUAGCUGUAUCAAAAUUCAAUGAUGAUUGGCUGAUUCAACACAUUAUAUUAUACAAAAGAAAUUGAUUCCUCAAGGAAGGGAUUAUUUUGCAUGGUGUCCUCACACCCUAAGUACCCUCCCUCUGCCCUAUUGCUUACACUGAGCAAAUACAGUAUAUCUCAUUGAGAUAAUUCUUUCCUUGCGUACAAAAGCUGAACUACAACUGCAUCAGGCUCAAGUAGAUGACAGACGUACCCCACGCCAUUAGAGCCAGAGUUCCUUGUAGUGGCAACAAAUACUUGAGUCUCCUAGCAUAAACUUGCUUCACUUUGCAUUUUGCAAAUUUAGCUGGUUCUAUGAUUAUUUCACUGUUUUUACUAUAUUGGAAGCCACCUAGAGUGGUCUUUUAGACCAGAUGGGCGGGGUAUAAAUCAAAUAAAUAAAUAAAAAAUUAAAAAAUAGUUAUUGGGAAGUAAACCUGGUCUUCAUUUGCUAGUUUAAUAGUACCAGGAGGGAAAAUGUUCCAAAACAGGACCUAUGCUGUAACAGCAGGAAAUCACAUUUCCUGUAACAUGUGAUUCAGCCAUGCGAUUUGUAGACCAAAAUCUCAACAGGGUUUGAAAGAGAGAGAGAGAAGGGUCAGGGAGAGGAUUUUUGGACUUGGAAUAAAGCAAUCAGAUGCUUACCCUCCUUUCUUUUGCAAUUUCCAGGGGUCUACCACAUGCGUUUUUUUAAAAAGGGUUUCCAAAGUAUAUUUAGAACACCAAUUGGGGAACGAUACAGUUUGUGAUGGAAAUGGACCAGGAACCAAGAAAUAUGGAGGAACAGCUGUCUGUUAUAUAUUUUGCCUGACCCCUACAGAACUUGACCUUGGAGGCCCUCUUCAGACCAGGUGAAAGAAGUGCCUUGCAUUCACCAGGUGCUAUAACAACUAGUACACACAUUUUCAGACUUUUUUCUUUUUUCCUUUCCAAUUCAUAUAUAUUGAUGUUUCUCCAAUCGUAAUAGGAACCCACAAAUUCCAGAAGUCAGAAGGAACAAUGGGGAGGGAUGUAGACAGGAGAGAAUUUUUCUGUGAAGGGACACUGGUUCAGUCCUGAUUUUAAAAAAAAGACAAAUACUUUAAAGGCACUCUUUUUCUUAAAUCUACUAGGUGUAAGUCUGUUCUGAACCACUACUUCGAACUUGACACCAACCUGACUUUACUUUUGAGAUACAACUCUUAUAAGCUCCCCACCAGCAUGCCCACUGAGUCCAACAAAAUAACUUUUUGAAGAUCAGUUCCAGUUCGUGAAUCUUGAAAUUCUGCAGGGAAGGCAACCAAUAUAGAUUUCAGAAGCCAGAUGUUUGCUUACCCUUGAUUUAGGAUCUUGUCCAGGCCUUUCGACAUUAUGCUGUUUUCUGUCAUGAUAGAUUUUGAACAGCAGAUGUUCAUCAUGACAGCCUUUGUAUCUUGGCUCUAAGGAGAGUCUAAGAAUGCAGGCAAAUCUGUUCAUCAACCUUUGUGUGGGAGUAUGUACAGGUAUAUGUUUAUGCAUAGAUUUCAGGAUUUUCAAGGAGUUUUGUUUACUGAUGGCAAAGAAAAAUAAAAUAAUUUAAUAAUGGAAUUGGACUCA
Molecule: long non-coding RNA, 1969 nt
Organism: Pogona vitticeps (central bearded dragon)
Lineage: Eukaryota; Metazoa; Chordata; Lepidosauria; Squamata; Agamidae
Source: Ensembl